AGCAGUAGGGAAUAUUGGGCAAUGGGCGAGAGCCUGACCCAGCCAUGCCGCGUGCAGGAAGAAGGCUUUCUGAGUCGUAAACUGCUUUUGACAGGGAAGAAUAAGGACUACGUGUAGUCUGAUGACGGUACCUGCAGAAUAAGCACCGGCUAACUCCGUGCCAGCAGCCGCGGUAAUACGGAGGGUGCGAGCGUUGUCCGGAUUUAUUGGGUUUAAAGGGUGCGUAGGCGGCCGUUUAAGUCUGGGGUGAAAGCCCGCUGCUCAACAGCGGAACUGCCCUGGAUACUGGACGGCUUGAGUGCAGACGAGGUUGGCGGAAUGGACAGAGUAGCGGUGAAAUGCAUAGAUACUGUCCAGAACCCCGAUUGCGAAGGCAGCUGACUAGGCUGUUACUGACGCUGAGG
RNAcentral lists this ribosomal RNA (404 nucleotides) under uncultured bacterium. Its description in RNAcentral is "bacterial SSU rRNA". It matches the Rfam family "Bacterial small subunit ribosomal RNA", at positions 350 to 751 of the family's 1533-position model. The record is from RNAcentral.